UACGGAGGGUGCAAGCGUUAUCCGGAUUCACUGGGUUUAAAGGGUGCGUAGGUGGGCAGGUAAGUCAGUUGUGAAAUCUUUGGGCUUAACCCGAAAACUGCCAUUGAUACUAUUUGUCUUGAAUAUUGUGGAGGUCAGCGGAAUAUGUCAUGUAGCGGUGAAAUGCUUAGAUAUGACAUAGAACACCAAUUGCGAAGGCAGCUGGCUACACAUAUAUUGACACUGAUGCACGAAAGCGUGGGGAUCAAACAGG
Molecule: ribosomal RNA, 253 nt
Filed under: uncultured bacterium
Lineage: Bacteria
Description: partial 16S ribosomal RNA
Rfam family: Bacterial small subunit ribosomal RNA
Source: RNAcentral